CGGAUCCAUCUUCCCUUAUCUUCCUCUCUCUCCCUUUCUCUUCUUCUUCUUCCAUUUUUCACUUUCCUCCUUCAUUUUAUUUUCCCGAAUGCUCUAGUGGUCUUUUGCAUCAAAGGUGGGAUUCAUGUCGGAGGUGGAGUCGCAUCGAAGGAGGGUUCGCAUAGGCCAGGUUGGUUCGCAUGGGUGGGUUCAUUCCAGUCGUGACGGUGGAACUAGCAUUUGUGGGUUCAUGUUGUCGACAUUGGCUUUCACCUGGGGCACUCGUGCACGAAGGAUGGAUCAUGAAGGUUGGGCUUAGGCAUGGUGGUGGUGAUUUUCACAGACCUUAGGCCAUGUUAUUGUGGUGGUUUUCUGUUUUGAUUUUCUUUCUUUCAUUUGUUAGAGAAGGCAUUGUUUUUCUAUUAAGACAAUCACUUCACACGACAACAAACCCAUUGAUUACCACCUUCAACAUUGAAAUUUUUCUUCUUCAGAUCCAACGUACAACUUUCAACAUUCAUCACAUCCAUUCUAAAAUAAGUAGGAAUUCUAAUUGCUGCAAACA
Long non-coding RNA from Humulus lupulus (European hop), 544 nucleotides. RefSeq lists it as uncharacterized. The transcript is spliced from 2 exons. Lineage: Eukaryota; Viridiplantae; Streptophyta; Magnoliopsida; Rosales; Cannabaceae. The record is from RefSeq and is a predicted model, not a curated record.